Non-coding RNA from Punica granatum (pomegranate), 1433 nucleotides. Lineage: Eukaryota; Viridiplantae; Streptophyta; Magnoliopsida; Myrtales; Lythraceae. The record is from RefSeq and is a predicted model, not a curated record.
UGCUUCCUCCAGUCCACCCCAACUUUGCGUCUUCUUUGGCGAGAAAGACAGCCAAUUCGGGCACGGCUUCCCGAGACCUCGUCACCAUCUUCUGCCGUUCCUCGUUCGCUACCAUUUUAUACGCUUUGUUCAAAUUUGGUAGCGGUUCUAUGCUGAGAAUCGUGGAUCGGAUCGUAUUGAAUUCCGAGGUCAGUCCCAUGAGGAACUGAUAGCACCUUUCCGCUUCUCUCUGUGCCGCAAUAGUGGUGCUCGCCCCGCAACUACAGCCCGGAUGCUCCAGGUCGUCCCAUAAAUUCUUGGCGUCCACUGCGUAAGCCACCGUGGAUUGAAGGCUUCCCUCCAUGGUGUUAAAGAGCCACGCCAGAACUGUGGAGUUGCAUCUUUCCCACCGUUCUCUGAGGGGUUCUUCAUCUCCCGGUUUCUCGAGAGAGCCAUCGAUGAAGGCAAGCUUGUUUCUUGCCCGAAGCGCAAUGAUCAUGGCCCGAGACCAUGUCAGGUAAUUAUCUCCGUUGAGGGUGCAUGCAAUUACUUGAGCCCCUAUACUGUCUGAUGAAGCUAGCCUGCCCUGCUGUUGCCCUGUCUUGAGCUCUUCUCUUCAUCACUGAUGUCUGACAUUUUGCAAUCGAAAAAAUUCAAUCGAUUUGCUGCUCUGAUACCAUGUGAAUAAUGGAGCAAUUCAACUCAAUUUCCAUUGAAUAAUUCAGCACAGUAAAUAGGCUGUGCGAUUGUACAAAGGGGGAAAGAGAAAUUAAUGGUAUAUCUACACUACCGGAAAUAAUACAAAGAUUCUUAAUAUACAUUCUAUCUUUAAUAUUCCUUCUAUCUUUAAUAGACGAGGAGAAAAAACAAAUCACGGAAGAGGCUCUCAUUGAUCUCUCCAAUUUCUCCUCUGAAUAUAUUUUUCCCCGUUUCUGGUGUGCGGCGUCUGCCAUAGAAGCCAUUUGGGUCUUCCAUCUUUGCCAGGAAUCAAACGACAGGAAGAGGAGCUGAGGGAGAUGAACAUACACACACCAAGUCACCAAUGGGUACAUGCAAAGUAAUUUUUCCAUUCUUUUUUUUUUUCCUGUAAUCUUUUACUAUUCUUUUUCUGGAGAUCCUGAUUCUCAACUAAAGGAGAUAGGCUUGUUAUCGUUCAGAAAAGUGUGAAUUUUAUGGGGAAGGAAUAGAUGGGAUUGAAGUUUUAGCUAUGGUCAGGGAAGAUCUUUGUGCUCGUGACUCCCCCCCAAGAAAAAAGAAAAAAAAAAAAAGAGUGCAUCGAAGAGCAUGCCAUUCCUCUGGCGCCGGCAGCCGCCCCUUGGCAACAACCUGGCCCGACAAAGCCGUGGGUUGCAGUUUUUAUUGUUUGUUUGUUUAUUUAUUUUUAUUUUUUUAAGAAAGUGCCACGUAGGCAAUAAAUGGCCAACUCCGAUAAUUUUCACGGCGUUAAGUCCAAA